This is a long non-coding RNA of Eriocheir sinensis (Chinese mitten crab), 389 nucleotides long. RefSeq lists it as uncharacterized. NCBI's taxonomy places the organism in Eukaryota, Metazoa, Arthropoda, Malacostraca, Decapoda, Varunidae. The record is from RefSeq and is a predicted model, not a curated record. The transcript has 3 exons.
AGUCAUAGUAAGUCAUAGUUAGCUAUUAGUCAGUGAAGAAUCGGAGUGAAUUGUACUAAGGAGGAAUAUUAAACUACAGAAGCUGUGCAAGUUUGCCGUUGAGUGUGCCUUUAUCACAUUACCCUACAGUCACCAUGCUUGCCCGUCAGACACCGAUUAUUUUCCUCAUCCUCGUGGCCGUCAUCGCCAUCUACAGUGUCUCCAGGUAUUCACUUGAUGAGAAGUUUGCUUCCGUGCUCGUGGCGAGAUGCAUCGACACCAGCAGCAGCAGGAGCGCCUCGCCCCCGGCCCCAGGAGCAUCAAGGGACGGGGCCUUCUACCGGGAGGCAGACAUCGCCACGUGGGACGAGGACUGGGGUAAGGCCGCCCCUAGUUUUCUCCGUCCCUCC